GACGAACGCUGGCGGCGUGGAUUAGGCAUGCAAGUCGAACGGUAUCAUCCUUUCGGGGGUGAGAGAGUGGCGAACUGGCGAGUAACACGUAGGUUAUCUACCCUCAAGACGGGGACAACCCAGGGAAACUUGGGCUAAUACCGGAUGUGAGCAACUUUUAGUUGUUUGAAAGGUGGCGUAAGCUGUCGCUUGGGGAUGAGCCUGCGUCCUAUUAGUUAGUUGGUGAGGUAACGGCUCACCUAGGCAAUGAUAGGUAGGCGGCCUUAACGGGUGGUCGCCCACACUGGGAUUGAGAUACGGCCCAGACUCCUACGGGAGGCAGCAGUCGAGAAUAGUCUACAAUGGUCGGAAGACUGAUAGUGCGACGCCGCGUGAACGAUGAAUCCCUUCGGGGUGUAAAGUUCUUUUAUAUGUGAGCAGUGCUUCUUAUAUUUAACAGUAUGGGGAGAAGAGAUAUUAGCAUAUGAAUAAGCAACGGCUAACUCCGUGCCAGCAGCCGCGGUAAUA
RNAcentral lists this ribosomal RNA (507 nucleotides) under uncultured bacterium. RNAcentral describes it as "bacterial SSU rRNA". It matches the Rfam family "Bacterial small subunit ribosomal RNA", at positions 28 to 525 of the family's 1533-position model. The record is from RNAcentral.